UUUAUUCUUAAUCUGCAGUGAUUAAAGAACCUGCAGUUUCUGACAAUCAGCCCAAAGUACCAACUUUAGUCUGACUCCAGCAAAAUGAAGACACCCAAAUCAAAGAAGAAAAUUCAAGGAGUAAUUCAAAUUUUGUCCAUGAAAAUUCCCACCAGAAAUUGGGUGCAAGUUCUGUUGAUUUUUUACUUACCUGUCUGAUAGAUGUAAUAUUUGGGAGCCUUCCAGCACUCUUUUAGAAAAUGCACACCAAAUUGCUUCUCCUUUGACCAACCAUCUUGUGUCUUCCAGUGUGGCAUAGAGGAGUAGCAUAGGAGAAAGGGGAGUAAAAUUCUUCAUGACUGCUCCUCAGUAAAAGUGACUGGAGCCAUUGCAAAUGGUGGUGUUUAGGUGCUGCCCUCUGUCCUUUGCUUGGUGCUUCUGCCCAAGGAAAUUUGGAAAGGAAUGUGAGUUGCAGCUUGGAAGAUACCGUGUUACUGUUUUCUGUCCAUAAUGAAGUAGGUUGUUUGGGGCAUGACAGUCUCUAAAUUCAUCCUUCCUCAGGACCAUCGUGUAAAUCUUUGGAAUAUUUGUCAUGGAGAAUACUGGGUUUGAAUGGGCUGGAAAAAGCUGGAGAGUUGGCAGUGCCAGGUGAGGAAGGAAUUAUUAACAGAUGUUUCCAGCCCUAAGGGUCUGCAACAUUUAGGGAGCAAGGAAAAGGUGAGCAGAAUAAAACAGUCCCUGAAGCUCUCCAGCAAGUCUCUAGUUAUCUUUUACCACAUACUUAAUCCCUUUGAAGAACUAAGAUUCUGCACAGAGCUUCAUUGCCAAACUAAUUUCUUCAAGUUUGCAGUUUCUCCCUGCAUUUACAUGGAAAAGUGCAAGUGUGCUAGGCGAGGUUUUGCAACCUGCCAGGUUACUUUGGGGGGAAAAAUAAAGCUUCUGUAGCAAGCUUUUGGUGUGAGAGCUAAAGACUGAAACAUCUUAAUAGAUACAGAGACUUACCCCAGACAAGUAAGGCAUGUUUGUGCCUUGCUUCCUUCCCACAGCAGCUGCUGGAGUUUGCUUUUGUUGAGUUUGGGAUAAGUAAAUAAGGACAUCACCACUGCAGUUUGCAAAUGCCUAAAUAAAUUGUAUACUUCUCUGUUACCAUGUGUUAAACUGCAAAGGUAGUAGUAAUUUCCCUGUGUUUUUAUCUUGCCAUGAUAUUUCCUUUUAAGUGGCAAAAGAAUUAAAAAUGAUGGGCUGAUAGUCCCUUGCUGAAUUCUGUCUCAUGUGCUUUAUAGUUCCUCCUAAGGCAGUAUGAAAUUCUCUGGCUAUUUAAA
Molecule: long non-coding RNA, 1301 nt
Organism: Zonotrichia albicollis (white-throated sparrow)
Lineage: Eukaryota; Metazoa; Chordata; Aves; Passeriformes; Passerellidae
Source: RefSeq, a predicted model, not a curated record